AUGACUUGUAUCACCAUCUUCAUCUGGAUAUUUGCCCUCUGUCUCCAAGAGUCCAGAGGCCAGGUCACAGUGACCCAGACUCCUGCAGUGAAAGCUGUUUCAGUGGGUCACUCAGUCAGUCUCAGCUGUAAGACCAGCAGUGCUGUACCCAGUAACAGCAAUGGACACUAUUUGCACUGGUAUCAACAGAAACCUGGAGGAGCUCCUAAACUCCAUAUUUACUAUGCUAAAACCCUUCCGUCUGGGACUCCAUCUAGAUUCAGUGGCAGUGGAUCAGGGAGUGACUUCACUCUGACCAUCAGUGGAGUCCAGGCUGAAGAUGCAGGAGAUUACUAUUGUCAGAGUUACCACUACAUCAAUGGUAAAAAUGUGUUCACACAGUGA
Molecule: non-coding RNA, 384 nt
Organism: Oncorhynchus nerka (sockeye salmon)
Lineage: Eukaryota; Metazoa; Chordata; Actinopteri; Salmoniformes; Salmonidae
Source: the annotation of a RefSeq genome assembly